AUUGAACGCUGGCGGCAUGCUUUACACAUGCAAGUCGAACGGUAACAGGCCGCAAGGUGCUGACGGGUGGCGAACGGGUGAGUAAUGCAUCGGAACGUGCCCAGUCGUGUGGGAUAACUACUCGAAAGAGUAGCUAAUACCGCAUACGAUCUAUGGAUGAAAGCGGGGGACCGUAAGGCCUCGCGCGAUUGGAGCGGCCGAUGUCAGAUUAGGUAGUUGGUGGGGUAAAGGCUCACCAAGCCAACGAUCUGUAGCUGGUCUGAGAGGACGACCAGCCACACUGGGACUGAGACACGGCCCAGACUCCUACGGGAGGCAGCAGUGGGGAAUUUUGGACAAUGGGCGCAAGCCUGAUCCAGCAAUGCCGCGUGCAGGAAGAAGGCCUUCGGGUUGUAAACUGCUUUUGUACGGAACGAAACGGCUCUGGUUAAUACCCGGGGCUAAUGACGGUACCGUAAGAAUAAGCACCGGCUAACUACGUG
RNAcentral lists this ribosomal RNA (482 nucleotides) under uncultured bacterium. Its description in RNAcentral is "partial 16S ribosomal RNA". It matches the Rfam family "Bacterial small subunit ribosomal RNA", at positions 30 to 507 of the family's 1533-position model. The record is from RNAcentral.